UACGUAGGGGGCAAGCGUUGUCUGGAAUCAUUGGGCGUAAAGAGCGUGUAGGCGGCUCGAUAAGUCUGCUGUGAAAGUCCAGGGCUCAACCCUGGAAGGCCGGUGGAAACUGUCGGGCUAGAGUCCGGAAGAGGCGAGUGGAAUUCCCGGUGUAGCGGUGAAAUGCGCAGAUAUCGGGAGGAACACCAAUGGCGAAGGCAGCUCGCUGGGACGGUACUGACGCUGAGACGCGAAAGCGUGGGGAGCAAACAGG
Molecule: ribosomal RNA, 253 nt
Filed under: uncultured bacterium
Lineage: Bacteria
Description: partial 16S ribosomal RNA
Rfam family: Bacterial small subunit ribosomal RNA
Source: RNAcentral